RNAcentral lists this unclassified non-coding RNA (366 nucleotides) under Hevea brasiliensis (rubber tree). Lineage: Eukaryota; Viridiplantae; Streptophyta; Magnoliopsida; Malpighiales; Euphorbiaceae. The record is from RNAcentral.
GGGCUCGUUCGUCUCUUCACCAACCUCGAUUUUAACUUCUCCGCCUAUGUCUCCGCCAUCGGAUUCGCCGCCAAUUUCGCCUAGUAGCCCGCAGGUGGUUGGUGGGUCUUUUAACUCGAUGAGCGAGCUCGUUGCCUGUAUGCGUGGUUUGCAGGUCGGUAAGAUGAAAGUGGGGCCUGCAUCUUGGGGCAUGCAGAACGGAUCCGGGUUUGGGUCGCCUCGCGGAUCGUCUCUACGCCCCGGGUUCUGCAGUCUCCCUUCCACUCCAACCCGGACAAUGAGUCGUCCUGGAGUCGGUCAGCUGGACUUCUGGGACCCAAGUAUGGAGGAAGAGCCCGCAAUGGAGAGGGUGGAAUCUGGAAGGGA